UGGGGAAUAUUGCACAAUGGGCGCAAGCCUGAUGCAGCCAUGCCGCGUGUAUGAAGAAGGCCUUCGGGUUGUAAAGUACUUUCAGCGGGGAGGAAGGCGAUAUGGUUAAUAACCUUGUCGAUUGACGUUACCCGCAGAAGAAGCACCGGCUAACUCCGUGCCAGCAGCCGCGGGAAUACGGAGGGUGCAAGCGUUAAUCGGAAUUACUGGGCGUAAAGCGCACGCAGGCGGUCUGUCAAGUCGGAUGUGAAAUCCCCGGGCUCAACCUGGGAACUGCAUUCGAAACUGGCAGGCUAGAGUCUUGUAGAGGGGGGUAGAAUUCCAGGUGUAGCGGUGAAAUGCGUAGAGAUCUGGAGGAAUACCGGUGGCGAAGGCGGCCCCCUGGACAAAGACUGACGCUCAGGUGCGAAAGCGUGGGGAGCAAACA
This 427-nucleotide ribosomal RNA is filed under the name uncultured bacterium. Its description in RNAcentral is "partial 16S ribosomal RNA". It matches the Rfam family "Bacterial small subunit ribosomal RNA", at positions 355 to 774 of the family's 1533-position model. The record is from RNAcentral.